This 497-nucleotide ribosomal RNA is filed under the name uncultured bacterium. RNAcentral's name for it is "partial 16S ribosomal RNA". It matches the Rfam family "Bacterial small subunit ribosomal RNA", at positions 28 to 507 of the family's 1533-position model. The record is from RNAcentral.
GAUGAACGCUGGCGGCGUGCCUAAUACAUGCAAGUCGAGCGAACAGACGAGGAGCUUGCUCCUCUGACGUUAGCGGCGGACGGGUGAGUAACACGUGGAUAACCUACCUAUAAGACUGGGAUAACUUCGGGAAACCGGAGCUAAUACCGGAUAAUAUAUUGAACCGCAUGGUUCAAUAGUGAAAGACGGUUUUGCUGUCACUUAUAGAUGGAUCCGCGCCGCAUUAGCUAGUUGGUAAGGUAACGGCUUACCAAGGCAACGAUGCGUAGCCGACCUGAGAGGGUGAUCGGCCACACUGGAACUGAGACACGGUCCAGACUCCUACGGGAGGCAGCAGUAGGGAAUCUUCCGCAAUGGGCGAAAGCCUGGCGGAGCAAAGCCGCGUGAGUGAUGAAGGUCUUCGGAUCGUAAAACUCUGUUAUUAGGGAAGAACAAAUGUGUAAGUAACUAUGCACGUCUUGACGGUACCUAAUCAGAAAGCCACGGCUAACUACGUG